Molecule: non-coding RNA, 30 nt
Filed under: Rattus norvegicus (Norway rat)
Lineage: Eukaryota; Metazoa; Chordata; Mammalia; Rodentia; Muridae
Source: RNAcentral
UAAGACUCUGUGUCUAAUCCUAUCUGUUGC